Molecule: unclassified non-coding RNA, 332 nt
Filed under: soil metagenome
Description: partial contains 5.8S ribosomal RNA, internal transcribed spacer 2, and large subunit ribosomal RNA
Rfam family: 5.8S ribosomal RNA (bases 1-120)
Source: RNAcentral
GAUGAAGAACGCAGCGAAAUGCGAUAAGUAGUGUGAAUUGCAGAAUUCAGUGAAUCAUCGAAUCUUUGAACGCACAUUGCGCCCUUUGGUAUUCCUUAGGGCAUGCCUGUUCGAGCGUCAUUUAAACCUUCAAGCUAAGCUUGGUGUUGGGUGACUGUCCGCCUCACGGCGGACUCGCCUCAAAAUUAUUGGCGGCCGGUACAUUGGCUUCGAGCGCAGCAGAAACGCGAACUCGGGCCCGUCGUAUUGGCUCCCAGAAGCUAUCUUCACAAUUUUGACCUCGGAUCAGGUAGGGAUACCCGCUGAACUUAAGCAUAUUAAUAAGCGGAGGA